GAGGGUGUAGCUCAGUGGUAGAGUGUUUGCUUAGCAUGCUUGAGGCCCUAGGUUCAAUCCCCAGUACCUCCA
Camelus ferus (Wild Bactrian camel) is the source of this 72-nucleotide transfer RNA. It matches the Rfam family "tRNA". Rfam says of the family: Transfer RNA (tRNA) molecules are approximately 80 nucleotides in length. Their secondary structure includes four short double-helical elements and three loops (D, anti-codon, and T loops). NCBI's taxonomy places the organism in Eukaryota, Metazoa, Chordata, Mammalia, Artiodactyla, Camelidae. The record is from Rfam.